Molecule: microRNA precursor, 95 nt
Filed under: Branchiostoma belcheri (Belcher's lancelet)
Lineage: Eukaryota; Metazoa; Chordata; Leptocardii; Amphioxiformes; Branchiostomatidae
Description: microRNA bbe-mir-200c precursor
Gene: bbe-mir-200c
Rfam family: mir-8/mir-141/mir-200 microRNA precursor family (bases 18-83)
About the family: The bounds of the precursors are predicted based on conservation and base pairing and are not generally known.
Source: miRBase by way of RNAcentral
UAACCACCUAGCGGAGUUGUGUCAUCUUACCUGGCAGGUUUAGACGAUUCUGAGAUCUAACACUGUCUGGUAAUGAUGACAGGACUCCGCAAUAC